Molecule: microRNA precursor, 167 nt
Filed under: Oryza brachyantha (malo sina)
Lineage: Eukaryota; Viridiplantae; Streptophyta; Magnoliopsida; Poales; Poaceae
Description: MIR812 microRNA precursor family
Rfam family: MIR812 microRNA precursor family
Source: Rfam by way of RNAcentral
UACAAUGUUUUGACUUUUCGUUUUAUUUGAAAUUUUUUUGCUAUUGAUAUUUUUAUUGUUACUAGAUGAUAGAAUAUAAACAGUACUUUAUGUGUGACUAACUUUUUUAAGCUUUUAAAUAAAAUUUUUAAAUAAGACGAAUGGUCAAAGUAUUGAACACAGAAAUC